This 343-nucleotide unclassified non-coding RNA is filed under the name soil metagenome. RNAcentral describes it as "partial contains 5.8S ribosomal RNA, internal transcribed spacer 2, and large subunit ribosomal RNA". The stretch from base 1 to 120 matches the Rfam family "5.8S ribosomal RNA", at positions 35 to 154 of the family's 154-position model. The record is from RNAcentral.
GAUGAAGAACGCAGCGAAACGCGAUAAGUAAUGUGAAUUGCAGAAUCCAGUGAAUCAUCGAAUCUUUGAACGCACAUUGCGCCCGCCAGCAUUCUGGCGGGCAUGCCUGUUCGAGCGUCAUUUCAACCCUCGACCUCCCCUUGGGGAGGUCGGCGUUGGGGACCGGCAGCACACCGCCGGCCCUGAAAUGGAGUGGCGGCCCGUCCGCGGCGACCUCUGCGCAGUAAUACAGCUCGCACCGGGACCCCGACGCGGCCACGCCAUAAAACACCCAACUUCUGAACGUUGACCUCGAAUCAGGUAGGACUACCCGCUGAACUUAAGCAUAUCAAUAAGCGGAGGA